RNAcentral lists this ribosomal RNA (253 nucleotides) under uncultured bacterium. RNAcentral's name for it is "partial 16S ribosomal RNA". It matches the Rfam family "Bacterial small subunit ribosomal RNA", at positions 524 to 776 of the family's 1533-position model. The record is from RNAcentral.
UACAGAGGUCUCGAGCGUUAGGCGGAAUCACUGGGCUUAAAGCGUGUGUAGGCGGAUGCCUAAGUACCUUGUGAAAUCCCACAGCUUAACUGUGGAACUGCUUGGUAUACUGGGUGUCUUGAGUCACUCAGGGGCGAGCGGAACAAAUGGUGGAGCGGUGAAAUGCGUAGAUAUCAUUUGGAACGCCAAUGGUGAAAACAGCUCGCUGGGGGUGCACUGACACUGAGACACGAAAGCCAGGGGAGCGAACGGG